Molecule: ribosomal RNA, 440 nt
Filed under: uncultured bacterium
Lineage: Bacteria
Description: partial 16S ribosomal RNA
Rfam family: Bacterial small subunit ribosomal RNA
Source: RNAcentral
CCUACGGGUGGCAGCAGUGGGGAAUCUUGCACAAUGGGGGAAACCCUGAUGCAGCGACGCCGCGUGAGUGAAGAAGUAAUUCGGUACGUAAAGCUCUAUUAGCAGGGAAGAAAAUGACGGUACCUGAGUAUGAAGCCCUUGCCAACUACGUGCCAGCAGCCGCGGUAAUACGUAGGGGGCAAGCGUGCUCCGGAAUUACUGGGUGUAAAGGGAGCGUAGACGGUGCGCCAAGUCUGGCGUGAAAUGCCGCGGCUUAACUGCGGAGCUGCUUUGGAAACUGGCGAACUAGAGUGCGGGAGAGGUAAGCGGAAUUCCAAGUGUAGCGGUGAAAUGCGUAGAUAUUAGGAGGAACACCAGUGGCGAAGGCGGCUUACUGGACCGUAACUGACGUUGAGGCUCGAAAGCGUGGGGAGCAAACAGGAUUAGAUACCCGAGUAGUC